AGCCCAAAGUUUUUUUUUGGGAAAAUUCUGCCCAGCGUAAUUUUUUAGCGGGCCGCAGUUCUUUGACUGUGCUAAGGUAGCAUAAUCAAUUGGCCUUUAAUUGUAGUCUGGAAUGAAAGGACUAAUAGGGGUUAGCUGUCUCUAUACUAUUAUUUUGAAUUUAUUUAUUAAGUGAAAAUACUUAUACAAAGAAAAAAGACGAGAAGACCCUUAGAAUUUUAAUAAAAUAUUUAAUAAUUUUUUUUUGUUGGGGCGACAUUGAAACAAUUAAACUUUCAUUAACAAUCAAGACAUUUAGGUUUGAAAGAAUAAAUUACCUUAGGGAUAACAGCAUAAUUAAUUAUUUAGUUUGUGACCUCGAUGUUGGACUAGGAACUAGAAGAUUAACCGUCUAAAUAGAUUGUUCUGUUCGAACAGAAAUUCC
This 424-nucleotide ribosomal RNA is filed under the name Pseudosuccinea columella. Its description in RNAcentral is "partial 16S large subunit ribosomal RNA". Lineage: Eukaryota; Metazoa; Mollusca; Gastropoda; Lymnaeidae. The record is from RNAcentral.